Molecule: RNA transcript, 2681 nt
Organism: Xenia sp. Carnegie-2017
Lineage: Eukaryota; Metazoa; Cnidaria; Anthozoa; Malacalcyonacea; Xeniidae
Gene name: protein-serine O-palmitoleoyltransferase porcupine-like
Exons: 12
Source: RefSeq, a predicted model, not a curated record
UAUUAAGCUAAUAUAUUUAGUCUAUUUGAUUGUGUUUCUCACGUUGAACAAUUUCACUGCCUUUUAUUACAAAGAAUGUUCAACCUGCAACGAUAGCAACCGGUAUAGUGUAAACGGGCCUUAUUAAACUUAAGUAUCUUGUCUGGUGAUAACUGAUAAAAUAUUGAUUAUUUGGUAGCACUAGUAUAUUUCUAUAACCAUAAUAUGAUUAUUGUGUUUCACAGUUGAAACCAGUGGUUGAAACUGAUCAUUAGAGCUAUUAAUAGACAAACUUAUUGAUAUUUACCGGAAACCAACAAGCGGUAGGUAACACAUUGUAUUCUUCAUCGCCAGAACGGAAAUAGCACGAUAUUCCUUUUUAUCUGCUAUUCUGCUUCGGUGCUUGUCCAUGUUCAUUUGCUUCUGUGGUCAACUUCUCAUAUCAGAAUAAUGAAAAAAUAACGACGCCCUUACUGAAAAUUGUCAAUUGUUCAGACAGCCUCGCGCAAAAACCAUAAAGUAUGAGUGAUUUGACGACUAUUAUGCUACCAGAUGGUACCGAAAUUGAUUUAUCGGAUUUGGAUGAAAGCGAACUGUUAGAAUUGUAUCGUAGUUACGAAGAACAGGACUCGCUCGUUAGCGUGGGUACAGUCGUCGGUGGCGGCUUCACUUCAACGUUAGACUCUUGUCUUGGCCCGACAACUUCGCAAACCAUUCUUGUUGCUGCGAAAAUAUUUGCAAUGUGUUUCCUUCUUCGUGUUGUAACCUUGAUGAAGAUACCCAAUCGAAUGAAACAUUCUGUAUCUUGCGUCACUGGAAUUGCUACAUUUCACAUGUUUUUUGUCGAUCAUAAAAUGUUGUAUCAUUUAUUUGUAUUUUGUUCCAUUGGAUAUUUGUUGAUGGUGCUGACGGGAAAAUUCAAAGGUGCUCUUGUGAGUUUGUUUUGUGUAACGUUCUUACUUUCAUGUGAAAUAUACUUUGUUCCUUUUGCACGUUGGAAUCCAGUGAAAGGGACUUUCAUGGUGCUGAGUAUGAAAUUAAUAUCUUUGUCAUUUGAUGUGGAUGAAGCCAUCAUCUCGAUGCAGCCUGAUCCUUUUGAGUUUUCUGGUUAUGUUCUUUGUCCAUCUUCAAUCAUCUUUGGUCCAUUCAUGAUGUACAACGAUUAUCUUCAAAUCUUUCAAUUCCACAAAAUGAGCUUAAAAUGGUUUUUGGCGUUGGUGAAAUCCAUUGCAUUGGCUUAUCUUUUUCUCAUACUUUCAACUUGUGUCUGUCCGUGGAUUUUCCCCGAAAAAAGUAACAAAUGGUUGCUGGCAUUUCAAACGGCAAUGUCGUUUCGAUAUAGCAAUUACUUUGUCGGUUUUCUGUCAGAAUCUUCGUGUCUUCUUUGUGGUAUUGGUACUGUUGUAAAAGAUGAUGACGAGGACAAAAUUCGAUGGCAAGUUCCAGUUUCCCGACCACAGCAUGUAGAAAUUCCAAGAUCAUUUGUUGAAAUCGCUAUUCAUUGGAGUGUUCCCUAUCACUAUUUUCUGAAGAAGUAUGUGUUCAAAAGAGCUCAAAGUCUCGGCCCUUUUUUCUCGAUGCUUGUCACAUUUGGCGCAAGUUCUAUGCUACAUGGUAUCAGUUUCAAAAUUGCUGCUGUACUUGUGUCUAUCUCUACGUAUGCGUACGUUGAACAUAAUUUUAGAAGGAAGCUGUCACGUGUUUUAAACAUGUGUAUCGAGGCGCGUAAAUGUAAACCUGGUUGUGAACAUCGUUAUAAGGAGACAAAUUACUGGGUGACAGUUAUAAAUCUUGCAUUUGGUUUUCUCAACAUGUUUCAUCUAGCGUACCUCGGCGCAAUGUUCGAUGGUGAACAACCUGAAGAGGGUUAUGGGGUGAAGCACACGAUUGACAAAUGGUCAGAGUUGAACUAUGCCAGUCACUGGGUGGUCUUUGGAACCUACGUUGCUUCUCUUGCCUUGUAAGCCGUCUCUUAUUUUUAUGGUGGUGUUUUCAACUACAUCUGCAUGGAGUUGUAUGGUGAUGUUUUCAACUACAUCUACAUCUCAGAACCGACAAAUUGCUUGGCCUACCGUAGUUUUUGUCGAUACAAUAAGGAUUUCUUCCUAAAGACCGAAGACAUGUUAAGUAAAGAACAAGUAAAAUCGAUUUGCUGGAUGUAUUUCAUACCAUGAUGAACGCGGUGAUGAGAUGGUGUGACAAAUAUGUACUCCAAUGGCCCAAGAUUAUCUACGACCUGUUAAAAAGUUAAAACAACAGCAUUAGCAAACUUAGCAAAGGGCCUUCGCUAGUUUUAAGCCACAUACACUGAAUAAAAAAUACACUAUUUUUUACAUAAUCAUGAGUUUAUUAAACCGUCAUCUUCCUUUUGUGAAAUCGAAGGAGAUAACAGCGUGAAACAUAUUUUUAUGCAGACUUUGCGUUGCAAGGUUUGAUACAGCUCUUUGUGAACGCCUUUUCUUUUUGUUAUAAUUUUGUUUUGGCACUUCUCGGCGUCAAUUAUGUAGUCGUAUGUUCAAAGGCCUUUCAUACAUUGAUGGUUUUUCAUCUUUCAGUAAACAAGAUUGAAUAAAUAAUAUAGCAUUUAUUGAAAUAGUUAGGUUUAAUGUGAUAUGAACAAUAAUCAAGAUGCAGUUUGUCAUAACCAAUGAAUCGUAGACUAUUUAAAGUCAAUAAAUUUUGAUAUUACGUUGAAAACCAAA